CCUGGCUCAGGAUGAACGCUAGCGGCAGGCUUAACACAUGCAAGUCGAGGGGCAUCGGGAGUAGCAAUACUGCCGGCGACCGGCGCAAGGGUGCGUAACGCGUGAGCAACACGCCCGUAUCAGGGGGAUAAUCCAUGGAAACGUGGUCUAAUACCCCAUAGUAAUUAUGUAAGGCAUCUUAUAUAAUUUAAAGCUUUGGUGGAUACGGAUUGGCUCGCGUGACAUUAGCUGGAUGGUAAGGUAACGGCUUACCAUGGCUACGAUGUCUAGGGGUUCUGAGAGGAAGGUCCCCCCACACUGGAACUGAGACACGGUCCAGACUCCUACGGGAGGCAGCAGUGAGGAAUAUUGGACAAUGGAUGGAAAUCUGAUCCAGCCAUGCCGCGUGCAGGGAAAGACGGCCCUAUGGGUUGUAAACUGCUUUGUAUGGGAGCAAUAAGGGCUACGUGUAGUCCGAUGAGAGUACCAUACGAAUAAGCACCGGCUAACUCCGUGCCAGCAGCAGC
This 506-nucleotide ribosomal RNA is filed under the name uncultured bacterium. Its description in RNAcentral is "bacterial SSU rRNA". It matches the Rfam family "Bacterial small subunit ribosomal RNA", at positions 18 to 518 of the family's 1533-position model. The record is from RNAcentral.